GACGAACGCUGGCGGCGGGCUUAACACAUGCAAGUCGAACGGAAAGGCCCUGCUUUUGUGGGGUGCUCGAGUGGCGAACGGGUGAGUAACACGUGAGUAACCUGCCCUUGACUUUGGGAUAACUUCAGGAAACUGGGGCUAAUACCGGAUAGGAGCUCCUGCUGCAUGGUGGGGGUUGGAAAGUUUCGGCGGUUGGGGAUGGACUCGCGGCUUAUCAGCUUGUUGGUGGGGUUGUGGCUUACCAAGGCUUUGACGGGUAGCCGGCCUGAGAGGGUGACCGGCCACAUUGGGACUGAGGUACGGCCCAGACUCCUACGGGAGGCAGCAGUGGGGAAUAUUGCACAAUGGGCGGAAGCCUGAUGCAGCAACGCCGCGUGCGGGAUGACGGCCUUCGGGUUGUAAACCGCUUUCGCCUGUGACGAAGCGUGAGUGACGGUAAUGGGUAAAGAAGCACCGGCUAACUACGUG
This 468-nucleotide ribosomal RNA is filed under the name uncultured bacterium. RNAcentral's name for it is "partial 16S ribosomal RNA". It matches the Rfam family "Bacterial small subunit ribosomal RNA", at positions 28 to 507 of the family's 1533-position model. The record is from RNAcentral.